GAUGAACGCUGGCGGCGUGCCUAAUACAUGCAAGUCGAGCGAACAGACGAGGAGCUUGCUCCUCUGAUGUUAGCGGCGGACGGGUGAGUAACACGUGGAUAACCUACCUAUAAGACUGGGAUAACUUCGGGAAACCGGAGCUAAUACCGGAUAACAUGUUGAACCGCAUGGUUCAACAGUGAAAGACGGUCUUGCUGUCACUUAUAGAUGGAUCCGCGCCGCAUUAGCUAGUUGGUAAGGUAACGGCUUACCAAGGCAACGAUGCGUAGCCGACCGGAGAGGGGGAUCGCCCACCCUGGAACUGAGCCACGGUCAAGACUCCUACGGGAGGCAGCAGUAGGGAAUCUUCCGCAGUGGGCGAAAGCCUGACGGAGCAACGCCGCGUGAGUGAAAAAGGUCUUCGGAUCGUAAAACUCUGUUAUUAGGGAAGAACAAAUGUGUAAGUAACUGUGCACGUCUUGACGGUACCUAAUCAGAAAGCCACGGCUAACUACGUG
Molecule: ribosomal RNA, 497 nt
Filed under: uncultured bacterium
Lineage: Bacteria
Description: partial 16S ribosomal RNA
Rfam family: Bacterial small subunit ribosomal RNA
Source: RNAcentral